Molecule: long non-coding RNA, 510 nt
Organism: Cygnus olor (mute swan)
Lineage: Eukaryota; Metazoa; Chordata; Aves; Anseriformes; Anatidae
Exons: 3
Source: RefSeq, a predicted model, not a curated record
CACCCCUGCAGCGCCGGGAGAAGCCGUUAUGUCGCGACCGGAGCCAACGCGCGGCACGGCUCCCCCGGACGGACGGACGGACGGACAGACAGACAGACCGCCACCGGAGCCCCCCGCCACCCAAACUAAAGCAAUGUGUGACAGAAAGGAAAAGGAUGGCCAGGCGGUAUAAAUAGUCCAAGAUGACAAGGAAGGAAGCAGAACUAAAGUUAUACCCAGGCGAAAUUCAAGGAAGACGAUUGAAUGCUCAGGGGGAAAAUCUGCAAUAAGAAGAUGCUGAAUAUUUAUUUACCUAACUGUAGUCAUUUCAGAUCUUUAACAUUAGAUGAGAUUCCUAAAGGAUUAUGAGUUUCAUCUAAUGCCUAUUGAAAUGGAGUGGCACUUUGUCAGUGAAACUGGUAAAUGUUAAAUCUGCUACCUGCAAAUUAAAUGUUUAAAAAAGAAGCACUGAAUAUGAAUCAGGGAAAGAUGUAAUACUGUUCUACUCUUAAAAAUAAAAGGAGAAAAUGA